Molecule: ribosomal RNA, 141 nt
Filed under: Graphiopsis chlorocephala
Lineage: Eukaryota; Fungi; Ascomycota; Dothideomycetes; Cladosporiales; Cladosporiaceae
Also listed under: 2 other names
Description: partial 18S ribosomal RNA
Rfam family: Eukaryotic small subunit ribosomal RNA
Source: RNAcentral
AUGGCUCAGUGAGGCCUUCGGACUGGCCCAGGGAGGUCGGCAACGACCACCCAGGGCCGGAAAGUUCGUCAAACUUGGUCAUUUAGAGGAAGUAAAAGUCGUAACAAGGUCUCCGUAGGUGAACCUGCGGAGGGAUCAUUA